GCACAUUGCUGUGUAUGUGGCCAGGUACUUGCAACAGUCCUUUUCUGUAUCUUCAAAUGUGUCCGGUCAGACAAACAAUCAGGUUCGACUAAUAGUUAUCAUGCCAGGGAGUCAGAGACCACAAUUCAUGUGUGGACUACGAAACAUAAUAAUAGGAUGUACCUUGGUCAUUUUCUCCUUCACAUUUGUUGCUCAAGGAAUACUUGGUAAGCAAGAGAUACUGUUAUUGCAAUGUUCAGAUCAGAUUCAUUCAAAUGUAUUUUUAUA
Molecule: long non-coding RNA, 267 nt
Organism: Oreochromis aureus
Lineage: Eukaryota; Metazoa; Chordata; Actinopteri; Cichliformes; Cichlidae
Exons: 3
Source: RefSeq, a predicted model, not a curated record